AUUGAACGCUGGCGGCAGGCCUAACACAUGCAAGUCGAGCGGUUGAGGUAGCUUGCUACCGAUGCAGCGGCGAACGGGUGAGUAAUACAUGGGAAUCUGCCUGGUAGUGGGGGACAACGUCUCGAAAGGGACGCUAAUACCGCAUACGCCCUACGGGGGAAAGGGGGGGAUCUUCGGACCUCUCGCUAUCAGAUGAGCCCAUGUCAGAUUAGCUAGUUGGUGGGGUAAAGGCUCACCAAGGCGACGAUCUGUAACUGGUCUGAGAGGAUGAUCAGUCACACUGGAACUGAGACACGGUCCAGACUCCUACGGGAGGCAGCAGUGGGGAAUAUUGGACAAUGGGCGCAAGCCUGAUCCAGCCAUGCCGCGUGUGUGAAGAAGGCCUUAGGGUUGUAAAGCACUUUCAGUGGGGAGAAAGGUUAUUCACCUAAUACGUGAGUAAAUUGAUGUUACCCACAGAAGAAGCACCGGCUAACUCCGUGCCAGCCGCCGCCUAA
RNAcentral lists this ribosomal RNA (497 nucleotides) under uncultured bacterium. RNAcentral describes it as "partial 16S ribosomal RNA". It matches the Rfam family "Bacterial small subunit ribosomal RNA", at positions 30 to 522 of the family's 1533-position model. The record is from RNAcentral.